This 77-nucleotide transfer RNA is filed under the name Elusimicrobia bacterium CG11_big_fil_rev_8_21_14_0_20_64_6. RNAcentral describes it as "tRNA-Met". It matches the Rfam family "tRNA". From Rfam's summary of the family: Transfer RNA (tRNA) molecules are approximately 80 nucleotides in length. Their secondary structure includes four short double-helical elements and three loops (D, anti-codon, and T loops). Further hydrogen bonds mediate the characteristic L-shaped molecular structure. tRNAs have two regions of fundamental functional importance: the anti-codon, which is responsible for specific mRNA codon recognition, and the 3' end, to which the tRNAs corresponding amino acid is attached (by aminoacyl-tRNA synthetases). tRNAs cope with the degeneracy of the genetic code in two manners: having more than one tRNA (with a specific anti-codon) for a particular amino acid; and 'wobble' base-pairing, i.e. permitting non-standard base-pairing at the 3rd anti-codon position. The record is from RNAcentral. Lineage: Bacteria; Pseudomonadati; Elusimicrobiota.
UGCGGGGUAGAGCAGCCCGGUAGCUCGCAAGGCUCAUAACCUUGAGGUCGCUGGUUCAAAUCCAGCCCCCGCAACCG